This 632-nucleotide ribosomal RNA is filed under the name Alternaria sp. Utah 1. Its description in RNAcentral is "eukaryotic LSU rRNA". It matches the Rfam family "Eukaryotic large subunit ribosomal RNA", at positions 1 to 633 of the family's 3401-position model. Lineage: Eukaryota; Fungi; Ascomycota; Dothideomycetes; Pleosporales; Pleosporaceae. The record is from RNAcentral.
CUUUUGACCUCGGAUCAGGUAGGGAUACCCGCUGAACUUAAGCAUAUCAAUAAGCGGAGGAAAAGAAACCAACAGGGAUUGCCCUAGUAACGGCGAGUGAAGCGGCAACAGCUCAAAUUUGAAAUCUGGCUCUUUUAGAGUCCGAGUUGUAAUUUGCAGAGGGCGCUUUGGCUUUGGCAGCGGUCCAAGUUCCUUGGAACAGGACGUCACAGAGGGUGAGAAUCCCCGUACGUGGUCCCUGGCUAUUGCCGUGUAAAGCCCCCUUCGACGAGUCGAGUUGUUUGGGAAUGCAGCUCUAAAUGGGAGGUACAUUUCUUCUAAAGCUAAAUAUUGGCCAGAGACCGAUAGCGCACAAGUAGAGUGAUCGAAAGAUGAAAAGCACUUUGGAAAGAGAGUCAAACAGCACGUGAAAUUGUUGAAAGGGAAGCGCUUGCAGCCAGACUUGCUUACAGUUGCUCAUCCGGGUUUCUACCCGGUGCACUCUUCUGUAGGCAGGCCAGCAUCAGUUUGGGCGGUAGGAUAAAGGUCUCUGUCACGUACCUCCUUUCGGGGAGGCCUUAUAGGGGAGACGACAUACUACCAGCCUGGACUGAGGUCCGCGCAUCUGCUAGGAGCUGCGUAAUGCUAACUUC